UACAGAGGUGGCAAGCGUUGUUCGGAAUUACUGGGCGUAAAGGGCGCGUAGGCGGUUCGUUAAGUCCUGUGUGAAAUCCCCCGGCUCAACUGGGGAACUGCACAGGAAACUAGCGGGCUUGAGUUCGGGAGAGGGAAGCGGAAUUCCGGGUGUAGCGGUGAAAUGCGCAGAGUAUCAGGAGGAACACCAGUGGCGAAAGGCG
This 202-nucleotide ribosomal RNA is filed under the name uncultured bacterium. RNAcentral's name for it is "partial 16S ribosomal RNA". It matches the Rfam family "Bacterial small subunit ribosomal RNA", at positions 524 to 724 of the family's 1533-position model. The record is from RNAcentral.